GACGAACGCUGGCGGCGUGCCUAAUACAUGCAAGUUGAGCGAUGAAGAUUGGUGCUUGCACCAAUUUGAAGAGCAGCGAACGGGUGAGUAACGCGUGGGGAAUCUGCCUUUGAGCGGGGGACAACAUUUGGAAACGAAUGCUAAUACCGCAUAACAACUUUAAACAUAAGUUUUAAGUUUGAAAGAUGCAAUUGCAUCACUCAAGGAUGAUCCCGCGUUGUAUUAGCUAGUUGGUGAUGUAAAGGCUCACCAAGGCGAUGAUACAUAGCCGACCUGGGAGGGUGAACGGCCACAUUGGGACUGAGACACGGCCCAAACUCCUACGGGAGGCAGCAGUAGGGGAUCUUCGGCAAUGGACGAAAGUCUGACCGGGCAACGCCGCGUGAGUGAAGAAGGGUUUCGGAUCGUAAAACUCGGUUGGUAGAGAAGAACGUUGGUGAGAGUGGAAAGCUCAUCAAGUGACGGUAACUACCCAGAAAGCGACGGCUAACUACGUG
This 497-nucleotide ribosomal RNA is filed under the name uncultured bacterium. RNAcentral describes it as "partial 16S ribosomal RNA". It matches the Rfam family "Bacterial small subunit ribosomal RNA", at positions 28 to 507 of the family's 1533-position model. The record is from RNAcentral.